This is a non-coding RNA of Dipodomys ordii (Ord's kangaroo rat), 65 nucleotides long. The record is from Rfam. NCBI's taxonomy places the organism in Eukaryota, Metazoa, Chordata, Mammalia, Rodentia, Heteromyidae.
GGUGGCUCAGUGGUAGAGUGCUUGCUUUGCAUGCAUAAGGCCCUGGGUUCAAUUCCUCAGCACCA